This 347-nucleotide ribosomal RNA is filed under the name uncultured Pseudaminobacter sp. Its description in RNAcentral is "bacterial SSU rRNA". It matches the Rfam family "Bacterial small subunit ribosomal RNA", at positions 770 to 1120 of the family's 1533-position model. Lineage: Bacteria; Pseudomonadati; Pseudomonadota; Alphaproteobacteria; Hyphomicrobiales; Phyllobacteriaceae. The record is from RNAcentral.
UAACCGGAUUAUAUACCCUGGUACUCCAUGCCGUAUACUAUGAGUGUUCGCCCUUGGUCUACUCGGAUCAUGGGCCCAUCUAAAGCGUGAAACACUCCGCCUGGGGAGUACGGUCGCAAGACCGAAACUCAAAGGAAUUGACGGGGGCCUGCACAAUCGGUGGAGCAUGUGGUUUAAUUCGAUACAACGCGCAAAACCUUACCAGCCCUUGACGUAUGAACAACAAAACCUGUCCUUAACGGGAUGGUACUUACUUUCAUACACGUGCUGCAUGGCUGUCGUCCGCUCGUGUCGUGAGAUGUUUGGUCUAGUCCUAUCACCAGCGAAACCCUCGUUUUGUGUUGCUG